Long non-coding RNA from Amphiprion ocellaris (clown anemonefish), 787 nucleotides. RefSeq lists it as uncharacterized. The transcript is spliced from 3 exons. Lineage: Eukaryota; Metazoa; Chordata; Actinopteri; Pomacentridae. The record is from RefSeq and is a predicted model, not a curated record.
UCAUCACACCGUGGGCUCAUAAAUAACCAGCAGGACUCUAUCAGCCUCAGUCUCUGAGAGGACAGCACUCAAGCAAACAACUCAUCUAUAGAACAGAAGAGAAACUUCAUCACCAUGCUGACCAACAUUUGUUUGAUCUUCCUCCUGUGUGUUGCCUCAUGCAACGGACAGUCAACCACAGCUGCGACCACUGCUGCAACCACUGCUGCAACCACUGCUGCAACCACAGCUGCAACCACUGCUGCAACCACAGCUGCAACCACAGCUGCAACCACUGCUGCAACCACAGCUGCAACCACAGCUGCAACCACAGCUGCAACCACAGCUGCAACCACUGCUGCUGCAACCACAGCUGCUGCAACCACAGUUGCUGGGGCAACAACUGCUGCUGGGGCAACAAUAGCCGCUGGGGCAACAACUGCUGCCUCUUCUGCAAUCAUCCAUAAGAUGACUCUGGUUUCUGCCAUUCUGGUUGCGAUGACACAUUUACUUCGCUGCUGCUAAAGUUGUUCACAUCCUGUCAAUGAAAUGAGAAAAUCGAAGGAUAUUUAUGAAGAUUUGAAAUUCUGUAAAUAAGCUAAUUUCUUUUGCUGUAUCAUUUAUAUUGUUUAUUCUUGUUGCCAUGGUUGCAGGUGAAUCAGUAAUCCCAGCUGAGCCUCCUGGAGAUGUGAUGUCAUCCAUCCAUCUGUGAAGGGAGAACUGAAUCUGUCUGAUAUUACCUGCAUGUCUGGUUGUAAAUGCAUCAUUUCUAAGCAACAUUCUGCAAUAAAGUUUUUACAAAACUUAA